GUUUCACUUUAGGGGUGUCUAUUGAAAAGUAGGCUGAGAUUUUACCCUUUGAACCUGAUGCAGUUCAUACUGCCGUAGGGAAAAGUGCAAUGACUUCA
This is a non-coding RNA of Chryseobacterium sp. SCN 40-13, 98 nucleotides long. Lineage: Bacteria; Pseudomonadati; Bacteroidota; Flavobacteriia; Flavobacteriales; Weeksellaceae. The record is from Rfam.